RNAcentral lists this long non-coding RNA (449 nucleotides) under Elaeis guineensis (African oil palm). RNAcentral's name for it is "long non-coding RNA (EGUI_LNC044435)". Lineage: Eukaryota; Viridiplantae; Streptophyta; Magnoliopsida; Arecales; Arecaceae. The record is from RNAcentral.
GCUCGGCCAGUCUCAUGCUUAAUAAUUCGGUGACUAUUUUAAGCAUUCCAUUUAUUAGACUAAUCCUAGGUAGAAGCAUAUUUCUCUUUCUUGGGGAGGAGAGCAAUGAACGAGUAGUUUAACCAAGAUACAUUGGUAUUUUUAGAAAAUAUAUCUUCAAUAAUUCUAUAGAUGUUAGCUUUCAUCGACGCCAAAAAUGCUGGUAGAAAGAGCCAGGAAAGCCUAGAUUCAUCCUCUAGAAAAGGGAGUGCAAGGUCUGAGAGAUUCACUUGGUCCACUAGAAGAAGAUGUUCCCAAUCUGUCAUGAUGCUGAUUUGAUUUAUUGAUCUAAAUAGCUUCGAGUAGUGUCUGGCAGAAAAGUUCUUUAUUGCCCUCCAACUUGUCAAAGAUAGUCUUCUGAGACUUGAUGAAAGAUAUAUGAUUUUUUUCUAUGUUUGUUACUUGCACUC